RNAcentral lists this ribosomal RNA (477 nucleotides) under uncultured bacterium. RNAcentral's name for it is "partial 16S ribosomal RNA". It matches the Rfam family "Bacterial small subunit ribosomal RNA", at positions 28 to 507 of the family's 1533-position model. The record is from RNAcentral.
GAUAAACGCUGGCGGCGUGCAUAACACAUGCAAGUCGAACGAUGAAGAUUAAAAGAUUUCUUCGGAAUGAACUUAAUUGGAUUAGUGGCGGACGGGUGAGUAACGCGUGAGUAACCUGCCUUGUACAAGGGGAUAGCCGUUGGAAACGACGAAUAAUACCCUAUGACAUCAAAUAAUCGCAUGAUAAUUUGAUCAAAGAUUUAUCGGUAUAAGAUGGACUCGCGUCUGAUUAGCUAGUUGGUAGAGUAAAAACCUACCAAGGCAACGAUCAGUAGCCGGCUUGAGAGAGUGUACGGCCACAUUGGGACUGAGACACGGCCCAGACUCCUACGGGAGGCAGCAGUGGGGAAUUUUGCACAAUGGGGGAAACCCUGAUGCAGCGACGCCGCGUGAUUUAGAAGGCCUUCGGGUUGUAAAAAUCUUUUGUAUGGGAAGAAAAUGACAGUACCAUACGAAUAAGGACCGGCUAAUUACGUG